RNAcentral lists this long non-coding RNA (956 nucleotides) under Serinus canaria (Common canary). Its description in RNAcentral is "lncRNA (ENSSCAG00000014843.1)". Lineage: Eukaryota; Metazoa; Chordata; Aves; Passeriformes; Fringillidae. The record is from RNAcentral.
GGAGAAGCUGUCACCUUUCAAAGAGGUAAAGGAACCCCCUGCUCUUGAUGCAGGACCUUGUGCUGCUUCCCAGGCUCCUGGAAAUGUGUUUUGUGUCCUGCAGCUUCUGCCAGGGCUGGUUAUUGAUAAGGAGGUUCCUACAAAGACAAAUUCUUCUGUUCACUGCAGGGCAAAGAGGCCAGUGAACAACAUAUCAGAGAACUCUGUGGGGAAAUGAUAAAUGAGCAAAUUGCACUGUUGGCUGCUAACCUGAGGAAGCCCUUGGCUCCUGGAAUGACGGGACGGCCUGGCCCAGCUGGGCCCCCAGGCCCUCCUGGGAGCACGGGGAGUGUUGGGCAUCCUGGUCCUCGUGGGCCCCCUGGCUACAGAGGGCCAACAGGAGAGCUUGGUGAUCCUGGACCCAGAGGCAAGUUCAGAGUGAAAUAAUCUGCUUCUCUUUUACGCCCACUGAAAUAAACUUGUACUGAAUUCAGCACUGGGGAGUAGAGAUCAGCCUUGCUGGAGCUCUGGGUGGAGUUCUGCACCUUGAGGGGUGCCAUGUAAGCAAAGAUCCCUGCAGCACCCAGGAUUUGUAGCUCCUCUUGGUGGCUCCAGCUGCAGAGCACAGCUGACAGUGGAAUUGUGUUUGUGAUUGAAGGUGACCCUGGUGAAAAGGGAGACAAAGGACCUGUGGGCCAAGGCAUCGAUGGGCCUGAUGGUGACCAAGGGCUGCAGGGACCACCUGGUGUGCCUGGAAUUACUAAAAACGGCCGUGAUGGUGCUCAGGGUGAACCCGGGCUGCCAGGGGAUCCUGGGACUCCUGGCACUGUUGGGGCUCAGGGAACUCCAGGAAUAUGUGACACGUCGGCUUGCAUGGGAGCUGUCGCAGCAUCAACUUCCAAAAAAUCAUAAACCAACAGUACAAGAAGUGAAGAAGUGACUGAAUAUUUAAAUAAACAGUGCAUUGUAAGAAAACA